This 343-nucleotide unclassified non-coding RNA is filed under the name soil metagenome. Its description in RNAcentral is "partial contains 5.8S ribosomal RNA, internal transcribed spacer 2, and large subunit ribosomal RNA". The stretch from base 1 to 120 matches the Rfam family "5.8S ribosomal RNA", at positions 35 to 154 of the family's 154-position model. The record is from RNAcentral.
GAUGAAGAACGCAGCGAAAUGCGAUAAGUAAUGUGAAUUGCAGAAUUCAGUGAAUCAUCGAAUCUUUGAACGCACAUUGCGCCCGCCAGCAUUCUGGCGGGCAUGCCUGUUCGAGCGUCAUUUCAACCCUCGAGCCCCCCCGGGGGCCUCGGUGUUGGGGGACGGCACACCAGCCGCCCCCGAAAUGCAGUGGCGACCCCGCCGCAGCCUCCCCUGCGUAGUAGCACACACCUCGCACCGGAGCGCGGAGGCGGUCACGCCGUAAAACGCCCAACUUUCUUAGAGUUGACCUCGGAUCAGGUAGGAAUACCCGCUGAACUUACGCAUAUCAAUAAGCGGAGGA